Molecule: long non-coding RNA, 1255 nt
Organism: Bos indicus x Bos taurus (hybrid cattle)
Lineage: Eukaryota; Metazoa; Chordata; Mammalia; Artiodactyla; Bovidae
Source: Ensembl
AGCCCCAGGUGACGGGACGGUCUCAGGGCCCACCCAGAGGGCUUGGCUUUGGGUCUCCCAGCUUAGCACAGGGGUGAGUGUGUCCGUGGACACCGGGCACCGGGGGAGGCCAACAGGGCCAGGGCGUUCUUCCAUAUCUUCCUGGAGCCCUGGUUCGUUCCACACUCAUGCUUCUGGCCAGCGUCCGCCACCCCAGUCUGAUGGGGACUAGCCUGUGUGAUGAAGGUUCCAGCCGGGCAAGGGGAGUGUCAGGGUGCAGCUGAGCCAGGAGGCUGAACCUCCUGCUGGGGGAGGAGAGGAUUACGGGAAGAGAAGCCUGAGAGGCAGGGGUUGUGCUCCUGGGGGAGGGGAGAAGAGGUGGGGGAGGGGGAGGGAGGGGUGGGGACCAGGGCACCAGGAGCAGGGGAGGAGGGGAAGGGGGAGAGGGAAAGACACUGCCCAUCUGAAGUGCACUGGAACAAACGCACCAGCUUCUCAGCGCCAAGGCCUCCUGCUGGUGUCCACGGCUGAAUCUGUCACUCGACCUGCAUAGUGUUUAACAGAAACCUUAAUUAUUUGCAAAGAUUUUCAAUUCAGAGCCGUUCACGGAAAAUCCAGAUUUCCAGGUUUUCUCAGUAGCAAUGAUGGGCAUCGCCCUUCCCACAGGUCUGUGGGUCCCUGGCUGGCUGUCCACUCCGCACCCCCAGCACUGAUUUGUAGCCCCUGACUUAAGGUGAUAAUUUAAGGGGAUAGGUUUCCCCAGUUCAGCAUCUGGGUGAAUUAAAUGCCAGAAGGGACCCUUAGCAGGGACUUGUGAGGGGCUGAGGCUGGUCUGGGCCGGUGUUGAAGCUGCCCCAAGGCCUGUCUUUAGGAGGGGAGGAAAUGUUCCCAGGAGGGAGUGCAGCCUAGCCCUAGAGUCCACCCAGAUAGCCCAGCCUGGCUCUGCAGAGCAUCAGCACACACUGUCUCAAGUGCGGAUGCUUUUGGGAUGUGUUCUCAUCCCUGUGGUGACGUGGGCACCAGCCCCCACUGUCCAUCGCGAAGUUUUCCCUGAAUCACCAUCUCCAUCUCUGCUCUUCCAGGUCCUCUUAUCCUGGAGCCAUCUGUGUAUCUGUGACCAAGAUCCCAUCCCCAGGAGCUACACACAGAGAUGCUGUUUUGCAUAUUAAACCAUCUAAAGGAUCCAUCCCAUAAGCAAGCAAACUGAGAGCACCCAUCUGGUUUUCCUGUGCAACCUGGAGGCUGAGUUCCUGUCACCAACCUGGUCUGUUCAUUU